UAGGGAAUCUUCGGCAAUGGGGGCAACCCUGACCGAGCAACGCCGCGUGAGUGAAGAAGGUUUUCGGAUCGUAAAGCUCUGUUGUAAGAGAAGAACGUGUGUGAGAGUGGAAAGUUCACACAGUGACGGUAACUUACCAGAAAGGGACGGCUAACUACGUGCCAGCAGCCGCGGUAAUACGUAGGUCCCGAGCGCUGUCCGGAUUUAUUGGGCGUAAAGCGAGCGCAGGCGGUUUAAUAAGUCUGAAGUUAAAGGCAGUGGCUUAACCAUUGUUCGCUUUGGAAACUGUUAAACUUGAGUGCAGAAGGGGAGAGUGGAAUUCCAUGUGUAGCGGUGAAAUGCGUAGAUAUAUGGAGGAACACCGGUGGCGAAAGCGGCUCUCUGGUCUGUAACUGACGCUGAGGCUCGAAAGCGUGGGGAGCAAACAGG
Molecule: ribosomal RNA, 429 nt
Filed under: bacterium
Lineage: Bacteria
Description: partial 16S ribosomal RNA
Rfam family: Bacterial small subunit ribosomal RNA
Source: RNAcentral